CCUACGGGAGGCAGCAGUUGGGAAUUUUGCACAAUGGACGAAAGUCUGAUGCAGCAACGCCGCGUGCGGGAUGAAGAUUUUCGGAUUGUAAACCGCUUUUAUUUGGGAGUAACUGUUUGAACGUACCAAAUGAAUAAGCACCGGCUAACUCCGUGCCAGCAGCCGCGGUAAUACGGAGGGUGCAAACGUUGUCCGGAAUUACUGGGCGUAAAGCGCAUGUAGGUGGUCUAAUAAGUGAACGAUUAAAUACCGACGCUUAACGUCGGAAAGGUUAUUCAUACUGUUAGACUCGAGGAAGACAGGGGCAGAUGGAACUUUAAGUGUAGGAGUGAUAUCCGUAGAUAUUUAAAGGAACACCAAUGGCGAAGGCAGUCUGCUGGGUCUUUUCUGACACUGAGAUGCGAAAGUGUGGGGAGCAAACGGGAUUAGAUACCCCGGUAGUCCACACUGUAAACGAUGCUCACUAAGGUCUUGGAGGGUAUCGACCCCCUUUUGGACCGAAGCUAACGCGUUAAGUGAGCCGCCUGGGGAGUACGAACGCAAGUUUAAACUCAAAUGAAUUGACGG
This 567-nucleotide ribosomal RNA is filed under the name uncultured bacterium. RNAcentral describes it as "bacterial SSU rRNA". It matches the Rfam family "Bacterial small subunit ribosomal RNA", at positions 338 to 916 of the family's 1533-position model. The record is from RNAcentral.